Molecule: non-coding RNA, 26 nt
Filed under: Cricetulus griseus (Chinese hamster)
Lineage: Eukaryota; Metazoa; Chordata; Mammalia; Rodentia; Cricetidae
Source: RNAcentral
AUGUAGAUGGAGGUCAAAAACAAGCA